UUUUAAAAUGUCAAGAAUGCUAAGAAUUAGUCUUAAGAAUUGCUUAUAGAUAAUAAGUAUAAAUACAAAAAUAGUUUUUAGAAAGUAUUAAUUUUCUUACCUUUUUGAUAGAGCAAGUUGCUUUGUUCCCCCAACUGAGCUGUAAACCAAUAUUCUCACACAUUGUAGGGGUGACGAGAUGUGAAGGCAUAUUGCCAUUCAUCUGUCCCUCAGGUGGGCAAGACCCUUAGUUGGAAUCCAAUUAAGGAUUUAGACUGCUCUCUUUACCUUAAUGCUCAUGGAGUUCAGGACACGUUACUCCAAAAUAUAGCACCUGGGCAUUUGAGAAAACAGUGGGAAGGUCACUCAUACCUCCCCUUCACUCUUUCUGUCCUGAAGCAGGUCAUAAAAUCUAGUUAACCUUCUCUGUGAUUUAGGUCAUAAACCCUUUAUUCCAGAGAUACCCUCCCUAUAUCUGUCUUAUCCUCCAAGACAGAGAGAGAUACCAAACAGAACCUGAACAUACAGACCUUGCUAGUUUCAUUAGUAUGAACCGCCAAUCAUACUAAUGCACAACUGUCAGUAAAAACAGAUUUCUCUGUUUCUCUGAGUCUUAAAUUUAUAUUAAAUAAGUUUAUUAUAAAAUAAACAUCAAAUAAAUGCCUUUCUCCUGUUAAUCUGCCUUUUGUUAUAGGGGCCUCAGCCAUGAACGUGGCCAUGAAUGAGAAAAGAAAUCUCUCUUCCCCUACACUGCUUUUAAAAAGAGCUACUUCCAAAGGGAUUGAGUCAUGUUAAGGUUAGCUCAGGCUCUCAUAAUUUUCCUUCCUUGAAGCAUUCAUGAUAUAAUCCAAGGGUUCCACACACUGUUUUCCUGUCCAUUCUCAAAAUGUGCUUCAUGGAACUGAUGUUCUGGGCCAUUAAACUGAGAUGAAGAGCUCUUAAUUGCUGCCAUUAUGUUUUGGAAUCUUCAUUUCAGUAGUGUGUGUGAUAGCACCCAACAAAGGUAGGGCUUUAUAUGGGUAUUUAAUA
This 1008-nucleotide long non-coding RNA is filed under the name Marmota monax (woodchuck). Lineage: Eukaryota; Metazoa; Chordata; Mammalia; Rodentia; Sciuridae. The record is from RNAcentral.